This 300-nucleotide ribosomal RNA is filed under the name uncultured Blautia sp. RNAcentral describes it as "bacterial SSU rRNA". It matches the Rfam family "Bacterial small subunit ribosomal RNA", at positions 495 to 795 of the family's 1533-position model. Lineage: Bacteria; Bacillati; Bacillota; Clostridia; Lachnospirales; Lachnospiraceae. The record is from RNAcentral.
GCAGAAUGACGGGCAGGCAGCCGGGGUAAAACGUAAGGAGCAAGCGUUGUCCGGAAUCAUUGGUCGUAAAGCGCGCGGAGGCGGCCCUGUAAGGACGCUGUGAAAGUCAAAGGCUCAACCUUGGAAAGCCGGUGGAGACUGCAGGGCUAGAGUCCGGAAGAGGCGAGUGGAAGUCCUGGUGUAGCGGUGGAAUGCGCAGAUAUCAGGAGGAACACCAAUAGCGAAGGCAGCUCGCUGGGACGGUACUGACGCUAAGGCGCGAAAGCGUGGGGAGCGAACAGGAUUAGAUACUCGGUAGUC